UACGUAGGGUGCGAGCGUUGUCCGGAAUUAUUGGGCGUAAAGGGCUCGUAGGCGGUUUGUCGCGUCGGGAGUGAAAACACGGGGCUUAACCCCGUGCCUGCUUCCGAUACGGGCAGACUAGAGGUAUGCAGGGGAGAACGGAAUUCCUGGUGUAGCGGUGAAAUGCGCAGAUAUCAGGAGGAACACCGGUGGCGAAGGCGGGUCUCUGGGCAGUAACUGACGCUGAGGAGCGAAAGCGUGGGGAGCGAACAGG
RNAcentral lists this ribosomal RNA (253 nucleotides) under uncultured bacterium. RNAcentral describes it as "partial 16S ribosomal RNA". It matches the Rfam family "Bacterial small subunit ribosomal RNA", at positions 524 to 776 of the family's 1533-position model. The record is from RNAcentral.